GUCCCUGUAGCGCGAUGGAUAGCGCUUUGGACUUCUAAUUUAAACUCGUGGGCUCGAAUCCCACCUGUGAUG
Non-coding RNA from Trichonephila inaurata madagascariensis, 72 nucleotides. The record is from the annotation of a GenBank genome assembly. Lineage: Eukaryota; Metazoa; Arthropoda; Arachnida; Araneae; Nephilidae.